RNAcentral lists this ribosomal RNA (421 nucleotides) under uncultured bacterium. Its description in RNAcentral is "bacterial SSU rRNA". It matches the Rfam family "Bacterial small subunit ribosomal RNA", at positions 28 to 433 of the family's 1533-position model. The record is from RNAcentral.
AAUGAACGCUGGCGGCGUGGAUUAGGCAUGCAAGUCCAGGGGGAAAAUUCCCUUCGGGGGAUGAGUACACCGGCGAACUGGUUAGUAACAGGUGGGGAACGUGCCCCGAGGCCGGGGAUAACCGUCUGGAAACAGCGGCUAAGACCCGAUUCGGCCCGGCAGUCUUCGGAUAGCCGGCGCCAAAGGGCGCUCCUUCGGGAGUGCCGCCGCGGGAUCGCCCCGCCCCCGAUUAGCUAGAUGGCGAGGUAACGGCUCACCAUGGCUGCGAUCGGUAGCUGGUCUGAGAGGAUGGUCAGCAACACUGGGACUGAGAUACGGCCCAGACUCCUACGGGAGGCAGCAGUCUAGAAGCUUCCGCAAUGGGCGAAAGCCUGACGGAGCGACGCCGCGUGCGCGAAGAAGGCCUCGGUUGUAAGUACGC